GACGAACGCUGGCGGCGUGCCUAAUACAUGCAAGUAGAACGCUGAAGGAGGAGCUUGCUUCUCUGGAUGAGUUGCGAACGGGUGAGUAACGCGUAGGGAACCUGCCUGGUAGCGGGGGAUAACUAUUGGAAACGAUAGCUAAUACCGCAUAAUAGUAGAUGUUGCAUGACAUUUGCUUAAAAGGUGCAAUUGCAUCACUACCAGAUGGACCUGCGUUGUAUUAGCUAGUUGGUGAGGUAACGGCUCACCAAGGCAACGAUACAUAGCCGACCUGAGAGGGUGAUCGGCCACACUGGGACUGAGACACGGCCCAGACUCCUACGGGAGGCAGCAGUAGGGAAUCUUCGGCAAUGGACGGAAGUCUGACCGAGCAACGCCGCGUGAGUGAAGAAGGUUUUCGGAUCGUAAAGCUCUGUUGUAAGAGAAGAACGAGUGUGAGAGUAGAAAGUUCACACUGGGACGGAAUCUUACAAGAAAGGGACGGCUAACUACGG
This 494-nucleotide ribosomal RNA is filed under the name uncultured bacterium. Its description in RNAcentral is "partial 16S ribosomal RNA". It matches the Rfam family "Bacterial small subunit ribosomal RNA", at positions 28 to 506 of the family's 1533-position model. The record is from RNAcentral.